This 148-nucleotide signal recognition particle RNA is filed under the name Papio anubis (olive baboon). RNAcentral describes it as "Metazoan signal recognition particle RNA (ENSPANG00000049687.1)". It matches the Rfam family "Metazoan signal recognition particle RNA". From Rfam's summary of the family: The signal recognition particle (SRP) is a universally conserved ribonucleoprotein. The record is from Rfam by way of RNAcentral. Lineage: Eukaryota; Metazoa; Chordata; Mammalia; Primates; Cercopithecidae. RNAcentral also lists the same sequence under 1 other name.
GCCGGGCGUGGUGGCGCGUGCCUGUAAUCCCAGCUACUCAGGAGACUGAGGCAGGAGACUCACUUGAGCCUGGGAGGCAGAGGUUGCAGUGAGCCAAGAUUGCGCCACUGCAUUCCAGCCUGGGCAACAGAGUGAGACCCUGUCUCAA